Molecule: long non-coding RNA, 234 nt
Organism: Gordionus sp. m RMFG-2023
Lineage: Eukaryota; Metazoa; Nematomorpha; Gordioida; Chordodea; Parachordodidae
Exons: 3
Source: RefSeq, a predicted model, not a curated record
CCUGAACAGGAGGAGAUAGGAACGUAAAAUUGCCUUUCAUUCAGCGAGAUUGAUAUUCGUAUGGCCAAGCAUCAUCCCGCAUAUAUUGGUUCACAUAUUUAUUUUUCUCGUAAUAUAUGGGAAAAAACAGAAAACUAACAAUAUUUCCGGCAAAAUUAUAGUAUUCCCUUUAAUCAUUGGUCGGAAUUGUGGUAGAAGUUAAAAUUAUCAAAUUUAAAAAUAUGAUUGUUCUGG